GGAGAGAUGGCUCAGCGGUUAAGAGCACUGACUGCUCUUCCAGAGGUCCUGAGUUCAAUUCCCGUGUCUUCU
Molecule: transfer RNA, 72 nt
Filed under: Mus musculus (house mouse)
Lineage: Eukaryota; Metazoa; Chordata; Mammalia; Rodentia; Muridae
Description: tRNA-Ser
Source: RNAcentral